Non-coding RNA from Pelobates cultripes (western spadefoot toad), 5991 nucleotides. The record is from the annotation of a GenBank genome assembly. NCBI's taxonomy places the organism in Eukaryota, Metazoa, Chordata, Amphibia, Anura, Pelobatidae.
CAGGCAGAAGAAGUGCUCCUCCUUUAGACCUAACCGGGCUUCCUGGUACUGAAAAGCUGAAUGAAAAAGAAAAGGAGGUAUGACAUUAGUUGAAAGUUCAGAUUUCUCGUGUUUAAUAGACAAUAAUGCAUGUGCUUUCAAUAAGUAUAUUCUUGUUUUAGCAUGUAAGAGUAAGGGCUUACUUCAUCAAAAAUCUCUUCGAUUUAUUUUUUUUUUUGUUUCAGUAUUUUAAACAAUCAUAAUUGUCAUUUAGAGCUUUGUGUUGGCAAAGUGUAAUACAUUACAGGCUUGUUUUAAAUCCUUGCUGUUUUGUGAAAACCCUCGAAACCCUAAUACAGAAUAAAUUGUGUGCUAGAUAAAUCAAUUGGCUAAAGUAUGCCAGCUUGUAUUAGUCAAUAGUUAUUUGUGAAACAAAAUUAUGCAAAUUUUGCUGUAGAACAUUUUCUUUAUUUAAUUUAACCAUUGGUUGAAUUUUCCAGUAAACAGGGUAAGCCAGGGCUCGGCAAAUACAAAUUUCCACUUGCGCCUGGGAUUUGCCAGCUCUUUAACGUGGCCGCUGAGGGAGCUUCUUUUUUUUUAAUUUUUUUUAUUCUUUAUUUUGUUGUGUCGAUUCAACAGAAAUGUCCACAUUGCCACAACAGCUUAUGCAGGCAUACUUAGCAACAUAUAUUAAUACAGUAGCUGCAUACAUAUACACAUAGCACUUUUUUACAUAUUAAUUGUGUAGUUGGGGUGUCGUCUAUUGUUUCAGGCAUGUCCAAGACCUGGUGGAUUCUGUGAGUGUGCCUUCUUAGGGUUUGUCUUUGGACAUGUGUUGUCUUAUGAGUCUGUUUGAAAACCAGCUAUGGAGGCGUAUUUUGUAUGUGUGGUGUGAGGUCUGUGGGGUCUCCCCAAUGUGACUGUCUGUCUAGUCCCAGGUGUGUGAGGGUGAGUCUUGUCGUGAAUGGGGUGCCCUAGGAUGGUAUGUGUCCCUCAUCAGGGAUACCCUCCUGUCAUAAUGGAUAUGUUUUUAUCUGUUUUUAACCAUGUUCGUGUGGGGAGAUAGGUCAAAUGCAGAGAGGGAGCUUUGAAGGCAGCCGCCGCUGGACAGCAUGCAGCCGGCCACCCGCGGGAGCAAGGAGGUGGCCAGCUGAGGCAGCAUGCAACGGGCCACCCGCGGGAGCAAGGAGGCGGCUGGCCGAAGCAGCAUGGAGGCGGUGCACGAGGGAGCAGUACUCUUACUGCAGCUCCUCUCUGCUUCCUUGCUCUGUUUAAUGAUGCCAGGAGCCGGAAUAUGAGGUCACUCCGGUCCCGGCAUCCUUACAGAGAGCGAGCAGGGAGAAGAGAGGAGCUGCAGUAAGAGUACUGCAGAAAGAGAAAAGGCCCACUGGACCCCAGGGAAAGACCCACUCAGCUCUCCUAAAGGUAUGGAGGCUGAGUGGGUUUCAAUUAAUACAAAAAUGUGAGUCUGUGUCUGUCUGUGUGCACGCGUGCCCCCUCCGAUCGUACGAGGAAUGUGUUUUUACUGACCUUUUCCCCCCAAACCGUGCCACUUUUGCCGUGGCUGGUACGACUUCAGUGGAUGAGAUUAUCAAUCUUUAUGAUCUCAGCUAAGCAGGAUUUUGUGCAUGCCCAGCAAAUGUGCCAAUCCGCAUCUCCUCAUAGGGAUGCAUUAAGUUAAUGAAUCUCUAUGAGGAACAUUCAGCGCCUCCAUGCAUAGCUUGGAGACCCUGAACGUCGGUGCUGCACAUGGUGCACCAGUGACCCAGGAUUCUCUAGUGGCCAUCUGAGUGACUGUCACUAGAGGUGUUACUAAGCAGCAAUGUAAAUACUGAUUUUUGCUGAAAAGGCAGUGUUUACACUGAAAAGCCUGCAUGGUAUAUAGUCACCAGAACAACUACAUCAAGCUGUGGUGGUUUUGGUGUCUAUAGUGUCCCUUUAAGAAUUGCUUUUUUUCUUGUUGAAAAUGACUGGCUCCUAACUUUUUUAGCUGGCUCCUAGAUUCCAAACAAAUUUGUCAAACCCUGGGGUAAGCCAUCAGAUCCUGUAGAGCAGAUGUUUAACAGUAGGCUGGUUGUAAUGUGGGAAAGAGGACACCUAUUCUCAAGGAGUUUUAUUUGCUGAUUGGUAGUUGCUUCCAUCUUAAGUGCUGGACAGUUGUCUUUUAAAUAGAUUGCCCAGACUUUAUAUACUAAGCUCCUCAUUGGCAGAAAUGUCCUCAUUUAUUACUUGGCUUCAGAACAAUUGAAAUAAAAGAUAUGUGGACAUUCAAGUUGAUUCAUAACCUUCAAAUAUCAGAAAGAAGAGGUGCAUGAGGAAGUUUUCCACAAUCUUCUAAAAGAAGCCAUUGACCAUGAUGAACUUGUUAAUCAUCAGUAAAAGUCAUAAGACCUCUCUAACCAUUGACUUAUAUAAAUAUAUAUUCUCACGGUAAUUUUAGGUCCACAGGUUCUUGGGUUUAGUUGCUCAUUAUAAUGAGAUUUGAGUUAAAUUUUCUGUGAUUUUGUUAGUAGCUGCUGUCCAGCAGUGCACAUGGAAGCAACUGCUUAUAACUACUUAGAAAUAAGGAUUUUGUGGUAAGUUGUUUUUGUUUUUUCUUUAUUUAACCAAAGAAUGGACUUUGCUCAGGAGUUAUAGUUUACCUGUCUGCAUAUAGCUGUGUAUCAAUGUUGUAUUAAGGAAAAAUGUACUGCUGUGCUUCAACUGCAUUAUUUGGUUUUAAAAGCUAUGUUUAACCCUCCUCCUCCCCCCUGACAGACGUCGGGUGGAUUUAGAAUCCCUACUGAUGGGGGCAGAUCUCCCGCAAUUCUAUAUCUGGGCCCCAAGGGAGCAUAGGGCACUUCUCCGUACAACCUGCCCAUCUGUGACCAACUUGAUCUGGGUCACCCCUCUCACCCCUAUAUAUCGCAACAUAGUUUUUGCCCCGGGCAUGAGAGCCAGAGAUUUUAGGGACAUAGAACAUGCUGGGCUCCAGAGGAUUUAUUAGCUAUGUAGUGGAGAUACUAUAGUCUUUUUACAGAACUACAAAACAGAUCAACAUUAACUCGUCAGAUUUUUUUCAGAUAUCUCCAAAUCUCCAAAAACUUUUUUUUGAACGAAUAUGCAAUGCAGAAAUGUAUUAAAAAGGCAUGAUCACUCUGCUCUACUCCCACCUUUACUGAACUACAACUCCCAUGAUUCUUUGAAUUACAUAGAUAGCCAGAGAAUCAUGGGCAUUGUAGUUCAGCAACAUCUGGGGGGCCAGAGUUUGAGGACCCCUGCUCUAGAGGGUAUUGAUUGGCAGGAUAUUUGGAAAGCUAACUCUAAAACAUCCAUCUGUGUCACAAUGCAAGAACAAUCUUACAAAACGAUGUUCCGGUGGUAUACCACACCAGUUAAAUUGUAUUACAUGAAGAAAACGUCCACAGAUCUCUGUUGGAGAGACUGCGGAGCUAAGGGAACUUAUGAACACAUGUGGUGGAGCUGCCCAAAGGUAACAUUAUUUUGGACUGAGGUCCAGACACUAAUAGCCCAAAUACUCCCUAAACAUAGAAGGAAUGUGUGUCUAUAAGGCGCUUAUGAUAUAUUAAAUAGAAAUAAAAUUUGCUUAUAGCAGCUACCACAUCAAAAUAGGGACUCUCUCCCCUAUAGAACAAUAUAUAAAGUAAGUGUACACACAGUGUAGGAGGACAUUGUGAUAAUAAAAACCACCACUAGUGUAUAUGUCAAGCGCUAGAGAUAUGUAAACUUACCCCUAUGGAUUAACACAAUUUGACAUGCAAAGGAAAAAAGUAUCACAAUCCCUAAACAUGUUGACCUGAACCCCUGGACGUUCUUACCCAAACCAAUCGAUGAUUGGACUCUGGCUGAACAGCAAUUGUUUAACAAAAUUGCAUUGGCCACUCGACUGGCUCUAGUCCAAACGUGGCCCUAUUCCACCACACCUCCCAUAAACAUGGUCCUUCAAAAAAAAGAAAAGUAUCUUAUGGACAAACUGACUGCACAAGUUCAGGGAUCCAUGAAGGCUUUCUCUAGAGUCUGGGAGCCAUGGAAAGACUAGAAGGACAACUAAUAAAAAAGGCCCCUGAUGCUGCACCAAAGUCUAAUCUUGCCCCCCCACCCACCUCUCCUAGAAGAUGCUCCUUCCGCCAUUGCCGACCAGAGACCUCCGGACCUCUCACUACUUUUCUCCUUUUUCCUCUUUCUCUAACUACUUCUCCCUCUUCUUUACCGAAACCCCUUUUUCCGGUACUUUCUAAAAGGUAUAAAAUCCUCAGGACCUGAGACAGAGUAUUAUACCCAACUAAUACCUGGCAUUUUAGUCUUUAUAUAAACCAAUUUAUCACAAAGUGGAGAGAGGCGUUUAUUACUACUACUGCAUUCUCUUGAAUGUUCGAUAACCACUUGAUCAUGAACACCCUGAAAUAUUGUUAUAUGUAAAUGCUGUUACUCUACUCUCUUUUAUAUUGUCUGUAUAUUCCUCUCUGCUAUACGAUAUAUUACCGUGAUGAAAUGCAACUUUCUCUGUAAACUGAUGUGUGUGCCAUAUUGCAAUCUGAAUGUCUUGUUUUUUUCUGCGAAAAAAAAAGAAAAAAGCUAUGUUUAAAAUGUGCUUCAUUGCAAAAGUAGCCGGAAGAAAUGCAAGAUAUACUCUGAAACACAAAGCUUGCCUGGGCUCAUUUGUAUUUCCAGCAGGAUGUUCUUGAAACAUGGACACAUGGUUUGUCAGAAUUCCUGUGCCCAAAACAUACUUUUACCAAGAUCUGACUUUUGAUGUGCUCCCUUACAUACAUGUACGUUUCUCUCAUUCAAGAAAGCUAGUAGAUUGAAACUCUUUAUAAAAACCUCACAACUCAAAUUAUUUUUCCUGUUUGUUUUAUUCCGUUAUAGUCCAUUUUCUAGGUUACUUAGUCCCAGAGUCUUUAUUCCCCCCAAUAAUAUGGUGCUAAUGCUCAAAAACUGGCAAUAACCAAAUACACAAAGUCAAAAAUGUAAUUUCUUUUCUUUUGUCUUGCAGCUUUGUCAAGUGGUGAGAUUGGUUCCUGGUGCUUAUCUGGAAUACAAAGCAGCACUAAUGAAUGAGUGCAGAAAGCAAGGAAGUUUACGACUGGCACAGGCUCGCACUCUUAUUAAGAUAGAUGUGAAUAAGACUCGCAAGAUUUAUGAUUUUCUUAUACGAGAAGGAUUUAUUAUGAAACCUCAACAAUAACAGAUCUACAACAAACAUGUGUAAUAAGAAAAUCGUCAUUAAUAUUUUAUUGAUGUUUAGUAUUAUGUUUUUGUUUUGUUUUUUUUGUUCUUUUUAGAGGUCGUGUACCAGUUAUUUUACUUAAACCGUCUGCACUUUGACAGUGUUAUUGUAUGAUCAUCACAACCAUUAUAGCUGGAUGAAACUUUAUAGAAUAAAGUUCUACUCAGCAGAUUUCAACACACAUCUGCCAAUAUUAUUUUCUUUGAAAAUAGGAUUCUUUACCUUGUUAUAUCUAAAUAUAUUUUCUUUCUAUGGUGCACCAUCUUAAAGCUGUCCUUCAACCCAGGAAGAAAGUUUUAAGCACCACUAGUAAAUUUACAUUCUGCCCCAGGUCAAAUACAGGAAGAUCAUCCUUAAGUUCAUAUAGUAUCCAAAUAUUGACAUGUUAUCUUGGAAACUCUACAUAGAACGAAAAACUGAAAUAUAGAAUUGUUUUACAAACAAAAUGAUGUAAUUGAACCGACAAAAUUGCACAAACGAAGGGAAGGCGUUAUUGCUGCUGUAUAACAAACUAAAAAACUAAGUUGUAAAAUUCAGUGUAAAGUGUUUUUUGUUUUGGGUUUUUUUUUUGUUUUUUUUUGUUUGUUUUUUAUAUACAACUGUCAAUAUUAUUCAUACAUUUGUGUAUGAUUAAUGGUUUUGUUAGAUAACUGAAUAACUGUUUCUAAGUUCUUUAGAAAUGUAUAUUUCCACGUGUAUUCUGUUUUUGGGUUGCCACGUACUCUUGUAACUUGGAUACUUCCAUAAAGGCAUAUUUCAUAAUCCUUAUCUUUAUUUUUUAU